AACGAGACCUUAACCUGCUAAAUAGCCAGGCCGGCUUUCGCUGGUCGCCGGCUUCUUAGAGGGACUGUCAGCGUCUAGCUGACGGAAGUUUGAGGCAAUAACAGGUCUGUGAUGCCCUUAGAUG
RNAcentral lists this ribosomal RNA (124 nucleotides) under Agaricomycetes sp. RNAcentral's name for it is "partial small subunit ribosomal RNA". It matches the Rfam family "Eukaryotic small subunit ribosomal RNA", at positions 1334 to 1479 of the family's 1831-position model. Lineage: Eukaryota; Fungi; Basidiomycota; Agaricomycetes. The record is from RNAcentral.